Molecule: long non-coding RNA, 1013 nt
Filed under: Salmo salar (Atlantic salmon)
Lineage: Eukaryota; Metazoa; Chordata; Actinopteri; Salmoniformes; Salmonidae
Description: lncRNA (ENSSSAG00000106673.1)
Source: RNAcentral
GUAUCUUGGAUUGACACUUGCUUUACCAUUGAGCUCCUGAUUAAAACGGUAGCUAGCCGUUUACCAUUAUUGUUUUCUUCCCUCGCCUUUAGCACAGCUCCAUUUUUAUUCUUGGUUUUUCCAACUCCAACUUGGCCACCACAGAUCACGGGGAUCAGACACAGCGCGGGCAGAAGAAGACUCUUCCGGAUCAGAUGACCGUGGACCUGAAGGUGCUGGAACAUCAGGAUCCAAAGCAGCAAAGCUGUUUGACGUCAGGAGAACACACAUUGCUUCCGUGGCUGUAGAGGGUGGAGAUAGAAGUCCUCGCUGGCAUCGAGUCCCACGCCGUACUGCGAUAGUUUGUUGCUAGCAAACCUGUCAAUAUGACAACCGACUUCAAAAUAUCAGUUACUGAAAACAGCAGGUCAAACUAGAAACAUGUGGGAGGAUUGGACAGCUUUAGUGGUGGAGGGGACCGGAGAAAUUCAUGUUCAUCACUCACCACGUUAGGUCAUCAAACGCUCCAAAAAAUUACCUCGUUGGACCUGCGUUUACAAUGUAUCCCAUUUCAGUUGGUGUAGUUGUUGGUUUAGCUUUCUGUAACUUUGUAGUAAGUACUGUCUGCAUGUGUAGACGCAUAUUGCGUCAUGAUUGCAAGCUGUCCGGAUAUCUUUUCCAACUGUCCCAUUGUCUGGUUUAAAUGUCCAUUCUAGAAUGUCCUUCUAGCCAAUCAGAAACAAGUAUUCAACAAUUCUGUAGUAUAAUGUACUAUACUGUACUAUAUUGUGCUAUACUGUACUGUACUAUAUUAUACUGUACUAUACUGUACUGUGUUGAUCCAGACUAUAGUCCUCCUGCUGUGUGGUGGUCAGAGCAGGGAACCAGAUUAGAGUCCUAGUGUGGUGUGUGGUGGUCAGAGCAGGGAACCAGAUUAGAGUCCUCGUGCUGUGUGGUGGUCAGAGCAGGGAACCAGAUUAGAGUCCUAGUGUGGUGUGUGGUGGUCAGAGCAGGGAACCAGAUUAGAGUCCUAG